This is a non-coding RNA of Dermacentor andersoni, 932 nucleotides long. NCBI's taxonomy places the organism in Eukaryota, Metazoa, Arthropoda, Arachnida, Ixodida, Ixodidae. The record is from RefSeq and is a predicted model, not a curated record.
CUGAGAACUUCGGGUUGUCAGAAUUAAUAAGUUCGUCUCUACUGCAGUGCGUUUCAUAAUUUUGUCAAUGGCUUUGGCACAUAAAACCCACGAAUCUUUAUCUGCGAUAAUAAAAAAGCUUCGUAAUAUUUCAGGUUAUCUUUGGGCGCAGACGCCUGAACCGUGACGAAAAUACGCCAGCACCAACUAAGCGGAAGGCAAGUGUACAUAUUGUUGUCACUGUGUGGCUGAUAAUGAUUUAUUUCCAUUCCAGAGAAAAACGAGCAGAGACACACGAGAUGAAGAGUCACGUCAGGUUCCUUCACAGAGUGUAAGGCUUUUCUUUGGUCUAAUUUGUCAGAAUCUGAACAUACCAGUGAAUUGAACUAUGGAAAAUAGCCGGUGUGUGUCGUUAUAAGAACAAUGUAGCCGAUUAGUCACGAGAAAGAUUUAAGUAUGCUGCGUACCACAAUACGGGAACAUAUUUCGUUUGUUAAACAAGCUUGUCUUUGAGAACAAGAACUUAGCUAGUUGAUGUUUUGCCUACAAGUAACUUCACUUACUGGAAAUGCCCCAACUAGGUCUUUCCCGUGCUUUGAAGUUUUCAUAACUAUGUAGGCCAGCGGAAGUUCUGUCAAUGCAACAGGCUUAAAGCUAUUGAUGUGUUUUUACAGGUCACUUAUGAUGCACAAGCUUCCACAUUGACCUCUCUUUUGGACAGUUUGGAAUAUGUUGGAGAUAGUGCCGAGACAAUUCUAGAGAGCGCUUGUGCAUGUCAGGAAACAGAAGAGACUUCCCACAGUGAGCCUGCAGUGUUCACUGAUGCAUUUGAAAGUGAACCAGCUGCUGCAGCACACAUGGAAACCACAUCAUUCAACAAUGUUUUGGGGAAUGAAGAUGCUCACCGCAAUGAAGAUACGUUUCCCAGCUUUGGCACAGUUUGUGAACCAGAU